Pezoporus occidentalis (night parrot) is the source of this 508-nucleotide long non-coding RNA. RefSeq lists it as uncharacterized. The transcript is spliced from 3 exons. The record is from RefSeq and is a predicted model, not a curated record. Lineage: Eukaryota; Metazoa; Chordata; Aves; Psittaciformes; Psittacidae.
CCAGUUACAGAUUCAAAGAUCUGUCCAGAAGCACCAAGCUGGAAGGAAUGAUUAGUAUGGACUUCAAACCCAGCACUGACAAAUCAGCCUUUGGACUAGCCAGGAGGACCACAUGCUUCACCUCCAGCCCAUUUUCCAUCCACAGCUACCUUGGUGUUCAGAUGUGAAGUAACCUUCACUCCUGCUGAAGGAGGGGAAAAAUUCAUCAAUGACUUACCAAUUACCAAACAUAAGGGUAUGCACUUCAGCAGCCAGAAUGAAGGAGGAGAUGCGCAUGCUAACUUACUAUUGGGGGACAUCCAUAUUUGUAGUAAGCCUUUUAUUCACAUACAGAAAUCAGUAUUAUUACAUGUGACAGAAAAACACUGUAAAAGCUGAACCUCAGUAGUUAGCCAUUACCCAGAACAAACAGGAGAGAAGAUCAUCUCGUGUACCUCCAGAACAGAUACUUCAUGUGCCCUUUCUAUGGAUAGUACUUCACUUCAGACACAAGCAUUUUUCAACAGCA